Molecule: ribosomal RNA, 114 nt
Filed under: Azovibrio restrictus
Lineage: Bacteria; Pseudomonadati; Pseudomonadota; Betaproteobacteria; Rhodocyclales; Rhodocyclaceae
Source: RNAcentral
GCUUGGCGGCCAUAGCGUCCCGGUACCACCCCUUCCCAUCCCGAACAGGACCGUGAAACAGGACCGCGCCAAUGAUAGUGAGCUUCCGCUCGCGAAAGUAGGUCACCGCCAAGC